RNAcentral lists this ribosomal RNA (1413 nucleotides) under Azospirillum humicireducens. RNAcentral describes it as "bacterial SSU rRNA". It matches the Rfam family "Bacterial small subunit ribosomal RNA". The record is from RNAcentral. Lineage: Bacteria; Pseudomonadati; Pseudomonadota; Alphaproteobacteria; Rhodospirillales; Azospirillaceae.
AACGAACGCCCUUAUGAUGAUAGAAUGCAAGUCGAACGAAGGCUUCGGAGUGAUAGUACCUUAGUGGCGCAGUAACACGUCCAGUAGUAGUAUUUCGGUUCGGAAUAACGUUUGGACCAGUGAUAGUAGACCGGAUACGCCUAUGCCAGUAGUAGAACCCAGUGACAUUAGAUCACCCGCGUCGGAUUCCAGUAGUAGGUAAUGGCUCACCACCAGUGACAGUAAUCCGUAGCUGGUCUGAGAGGCCAGUGACAGUAGAUAGCCGACACGGCCCAGACUCCCCAGUGACGUCAGCACCAGUGACCCAGUACAAUGGGCGCAAGCCUGAUCCAGCAAUGCCCAGUAGGUGAUGAAGGCCUUACCAGUAGUAUCUUUCCCAGCACGCGACGAUGAUGACGGCCAGUAUUACAGAAGCCCCGGCUAACUUCGUGCCAGCACCAGUAGUAGGGGGCUAGCGUUGUUCGCCCAUGGUGUGACCAGUACGUAAAGGGCGCGUAGGCGGCCCGUUUAGUCAGAAGUGAAAGCCAGUGACAGAACCUGGGAACAGCUUUUGAUACUGGCGGGCUUGCCAGUAGCAGGGAGAGGAUGGUGGAAUUCCCAGUGUAGAGGUGAAACCAGUAGUAAGAAUGGCACCGGUGCCAGUGGCCAUGAUAACUGGACGGACACAGUGCCGAUGAGGCGCGAAAGCGUGGGGAGCAAAAUUAGAUACCCUGGUAGUCCACAACGUAAACGAUGAAUGCUAGACGUCCCAGUAGGACAGUAUCGGUGUCACCCGUACACGAUAGUACAUUCCGCCUGGGGAGUACGGCCGCAAGCCAGUAGCUCAAAGGAAUUGACGGGGGCCCGCACAAGCGCCAGUAGUUGUGGUUUAAUUCGAAGCAACGCGCAGAACCCCAGUAGACAGUAACAUGUCCAUUUCCAACCAGUGCAAGUGGGUUUUUCACUUCGGCCAGUAGUAGUACAGGUGCUGCAUGGCUGUCGUCAGCUCGUGUCGUGAGCCAGUAGUAGCAGUCCCGCCCAUUAUCGAUGAUAUACCGUCAGUUGCCAUCAUUCAGUCCAGUAGUAGUAGUAGGUGGAACCGCCGGUCCAUUAGUAAGGCGCCAGUGAUAAAGUCCUCCCAUGGCCCCCAGAGUAGUGGCUACACACGCCAGUAGUGCUACAAUGGCGCCAGUGAUAGUAGAAGCCGCGAGAGCCAGUAUAGAUAAGCCGUCUCAGUUCGGAUCGUACCAGUAGUAGUGCGUGCCAUAAGUUGGAAUCGCUAGUCCAGUAGUAAGCACGCCCCAGAUGAGCCAGUAGCGUUCCCGGGCCUUGUACCCAGCAGGGACCAGAUGGCCAGUAGGUAGAUGCUUUACCCGAAGGUGGUGCGCCAGUGACCCUGAGCCAACCACGGUAAGGUCAGCGACCAGUAGUGUG